Molecule: long non-coding RNA, 1479 nt
Organism: Pygocentrus nattereri (red-bellied piranha)
Lineage: Eukaryota; Metazoa; Chordata; Actinopteri; Characiformes; Serrasalmidae
Exons: 4
Source: RefSeq, a predicted model, not a curated record
UGCAGCCUCUCUGUGAUGCAAUCUCUCCUUCUUUGCACAUACAGACUCCGUUUAGUGUUACAUAGGAAACACUGAGAACGUUUUAAACAAUCUAGAUCUACACAGUUUGGACUGCACACCCGUGGCUGGCGUGGCUCGGAGUUGUCGCUGUUCUCCUGGACGAUGCACAUAUCCAAUACCACUUGAUGCACAUCCAGGCCGACAGUAUGAAGACUGUGUGGCAGCCUUGAAUACAAAGUGAAUGAAACUAUAUCAGCCUUCACAAGCUCUGAUCAGUUGUUGUGGCUUCUACUCAUUCCUCUGAUUUUGGGAGUCAUCCUUAUCUGCUACAGCUGUCGCAAAUCACUCUGCAGGUCUAGAGGCCCUUCUGGACAAAGAGAGAAUGAGCUUGCAACACUGACCCCCAACAAGUCAGUUGACCCUUACUCGCCAAUAAGCUUUGAUGAGGCACCUAACCACAACAAACCCCUUAUCCCAGAUGGAACACUGAAUGGCAACACAGCACUGAACCUUAAUAUGUCAAUUAACCCCAACUCUCCAAAUUCCACCUCAACAGGGUACUAAACAACAAAAACAACUAAACAUCAGCACAACACAGAAUGCCAAGAAGAUACUCAUGCCACACAUGGCGCUAGGCACCAUCAAAGCCAUCAACACAACUUUAAAUGCCACCACAGCACAGAACUCCAAGAUACUCAGCCCAAUCAAAGCACUGAGCCCCAUCAAGACACUCGGCGUAACCAAAACACUGAGCCCCAUUGAGACACUCAACCUGAGCAACACCGAGCCCCAUCAGGACAAUCAACACACUCAAAACACUGAAACCCAAAGACACUCAAUGCAAUGAAGACACUUAGCCCUAUCAAGACCAUCAACCCAAUUAAAGCACUAAAUCAAGACCAUCAAGACAUUCAGGCCAAAGCAAAGUGCUGAGUCCCAUUAAGAUACUUGAGCCAAACACAACACUGAGCUGGAUCAAGUCUUCAACUCAGUCAAAACACCCACAAGUCACUCUCCCAAUUAAAGCACAGAGCCCCUCAACUGAGACACUCAACUCAAACAAGUCCCAUCAACAUACUAAACCCAAUAAAAGCACUGAAACCCAGCAAGUUACUCAAUCCAAUCAAGGCACCAAGACAGUCAAUCAAAUCAAGGCACUAAUCCCCACCAAGACACUCAACACUGAAAGAAAAAUAAACAAACACACACACACACACACACACACACACACAAAAGCUUGAAGCAUUUUUUGUGAAAAAAAUAAGAAUAAUUUUUUUAAUAGUUUUAAUGUUUGCUGUUUAAAUUAAGAGGAUUAUGUAACAGUGCAAUAUCAAAUUUGUAUCAUUCCUAGCUACAGAAGUGUCUUAUUUUUAAUAUAUAAAUAAAUGUUUCUUAAUCCAAGUGCAGAAAACAGAGAAACAAAUAUUUCUGUAAACAAAUUGAUAAAGUGCCAGAAUAAAAGCUGUGAUCUGAAAAGAA